RNA transcript from Pyrgilauda ruficollis (rufous-necked snowfinch), 5914 nucleotides. It is a transcript of the gene named terminal uridylyl transferase 7, with no coding region annotated. NCBI's taxonomy places the organism in Eukaryota, Metazoa, Chordata, Aves, Passeriformes, Passeridae. The record is from RefSeq and is a predicted model, not a curated record. The transcript has 30 exons.
CCGCGCUGCCGGAAGACCUGCGGGAUCGGGCGCGCCGCGGGAGCAGCGCUGCUUCCGUCGCGCCACAAUGGCGAGCUCUGGGCGGCGGGCGGGCCAGCGGUAGCGGGCGGUGGGAAUCGCUAAAUUGAACAGCAAUAACCAUGGGAGAUGCUGCAAAACCUUGCUUUGCCAAACAAAAGAAGGAACAGGAAAUUUUGCAUCCAGAAGAAUUAAAAGAAAGUCCCUUACAGAUAGUCUACCAAGUCAUGGAUGAAUAUGGAAGUGGCUGUAGCAAUAAAAUAGAUACUAGCCUGCAAAAGAAAAAGGGAACUCCAGGUCAUUACGGAAACAGUCCCAGGCGAGGGCCACGAAGUGUUUUGAGUAGCCCUAAUUCACUUAAAAACACAGCUUACAGUCAAGGGUCAAAGUUAAGUGAUAUCCAAAGAGACCAAAUCCAAAUGAAGAAGUGGGUAUCUGAUGAUCACCAUGGUACUUCUGACACCUGGAGAGAGUACCGUUCUGCUGCCUGGAUUCCUGGGCAUGGCAGGACAAGAAAGGACUCUUUUCAUGAGGUGGAAAGUGCUGGAAACAGAAAAGUAAGACGACAACUUCAGGAAGAUUUAAUGAGCAAAGAUGUGCCAGACGUGCACAAAGGAAGUUCUGAAAUGAAGAAACUUAGAAAACCAAGAAGACUGAGAAGAACUAGAAAAGAUGAGUGUGAUCAUGAUGAAGUGGAAGGUCCAGUCAUAGAUGAAUCUGUGCUGUCAGCAAAAGAACUUCUGGGACUGCAGCAAGCUGAAGAACGAUUGAAGCGAGACUACAUUUAUAGACUGAAGAAGCAACCUCGAAGCUACCCAUCAGCAAAAUAUACCUGCAAGUUAUGUGAUGUUCUGAUUGAGUCGGUGGCUUUCGCUCAUAAGCAUAUUAAAGAAAAAAGACACAAGAAAAGCUUAAAGGAAAAACAAGAAGAACAACUGCUGACUGCUCUUCCUCCUCCAACGCCUUCCCAGAUACAAGCUAUUGGUGUUGCUAUUGAAAAUGUUGUGCAGGAGUUUGGCUUAAAUAAUGAAGAUCUAGAAGAAAGGCUUAACAUUAAAACAAUGAUGGAAAACUUGCUGCGUCAAAAAUUGCCAGAGUGUUCAUUAAGAUUGUAUGGCUCCUCCUAUAGCAGAUUUGGCUUCAAAACUUCAGACUUAAACAUAGAUACCCAGUUUCCUGCCAAUAUGACCCAACCAGAUGUUCUCUUACUUGUACAAGAAAGUCUCCAGAACAGUGAAUCUUUUACGGAAGUUGAUGCAGAUUUCCAUGCUAGAAUACCAGUGGUGGUGUGCAGAGAAAAGCAAAGUGGCCUUAUUUGUAAAGUGAGUGCAGGGAAUGAGAAUGCUUGUCUGACAGCAAACCAUUUGGCUACACUUGGAAAGCUGGAGCCUACUAUCGUACCUUUAGUGAUUGCCUUCAGGUACUGGGCAAAGUUAUGCUGUGUUGAUCGUCCUGAAGAGGGAGGCUUGUCACCUUAUGUGUUCGCUUUAAUGGUUAUUUUCUUUCUACAACAGAGGAAAGAGCCUUUUCUGCCAGUCUAUUUGGGAUCAUGGAUUGGAGGAUUCUCAUUAAACAAAUUAACUAAUUUUCAUCUGAGAGAAGUCAAGAAUGAUGCUGUGGUUUGGGAGCAUAACCCCACUGAUGACUCUGAUUUGCCGCAAGAAACUUCCCCUAGAAGGGGCAAGGUUCCCUUAGUAUUUGAUGUAGGUCAGCAGUGUUCAGCACCUGUUGGUCAGCUCUGGCUUGAACUGCUUCGUUUCUAUGCUUUGGAGUUCAAUAUGGCUGAUUUGGUUAUUAGCAUACGACUCAAGGAACCAGUGUCUCGUGAAUUAAAGGACUGGCCUAAAAAGCGCAUUGCUGUGGAAGACCCGUAUUCAGUCAAAAGGAAUGUGGCAAGAUCUCUGAACAGUCAGCUAGUGUAUGUGUAUGUUCUUCACUGUCUGAGAGCAACUUAUAAGUAUUUUGCCUUGCCUCACAAAAAAAAUGCAAAAUGGAGCAAAAUACCCUCUUCAAAUGCAAAUGAGGAGAAAUCCCAAAUGCUGCACCAUGGAAAAGAUGCUAUAAAGCAUGAAGAUUCUGACUUGCAAAACUUGGAAGGUAGAACAAACACAGCCAUAGUAGAAGAUAGCAUAACAGAGGAUACACAUAUUCCCAAGGAACAUAAAAUUGGUCCUUCAAAACUGUGUGAUGGCUCAGAAAGUUUCACAGAAGAAGAAUUGGCUGAUGAUAUAAGUCAUCUGGGAAUUACCCACGAAGAUUCAGACUGUAUAAUUGAGGAAGUUAUUUCUGGAGAUAAUGAGGAUUUUAAACCUAGUUGUGAAGAGACAGAGAGUGAAAAUGAAGAUGAAGAAGAGGAGGAAGAGGAAGAACAUGAACAACAAAAAAGACAGUGGGAUACUGUUUUGGCUGCUGAGCAGACAAUUGAUGAAGACAGUGACAGUGGAGAACUCCCUGUUAUGGUGAAUGAGGAUGAAGUAGAGACAUGCAGGAUUUCAGACUCAGAAGGUUUUCAACACACUGCACUUACAGAGAGUGAUGAAUGUGGCUUGGAGUGCAGUGGUAUAACAGAUGAUAAGAUCGACAUUGAUGAGUAUAGUAGCACUGAAGGUACUGAUGAACUGGAUGAGUCCCCACAAAAAUUCCUGUGUUCAGCAGAGAGUCAGAUAUCCCAAAUGAUUAACUCAGAUGAUGAAGAGGAAGAAGAGGAAGCACCAACUCUUCUAAAUCAGAGAGAAUGCAGUGCUGCCAUUAGAGCUGGAGGUGAACUAGAUAACACCUGUACUGGAUCUGGAGAUGAUGAUGUGCUGUCAGAGGAAGACGAUUUUUCCAUCCCCAGUAAAUAUGAAAACAAACAAUUCAAAGAAUGUGUAGCUGCACCUCUGAGAAACAAUUUGAGUCAAGAAUAUCUUACUGAGAAGGGAAGCCAUUCUGAAGAGAGCACAGCAGUUGAACAGUGCUUAGAAUCUGAACUUUUUUAUGAAUUCAGUAAACAAGCAUUUACAAAGGGCAAGUCUCCUACAGUAGUAUGUAGCUUGUGCAAACGGGAAGGUCAUUUAAAGAAUGAUUGUCCAGAAGACUUCAAGAAAAUUGAGCUUGACCCACUGCCACCACUGCCACCCAAGUUUUCAGUUAUUCUAGAUCAAGUUUGUGUCCAGUGUUACCAUGAUUUUGCUCCAAAUAUGGUAGAAGAUCACGCUCGGGAACAUAUAAGACAAAGCUUAGAAAUCUUCAUCAGACAGGAUUUCCCAGGAACCAAGCUCGAUUUGUUUGGCUCCUCAAAAAAUGGCUUUGGCUUCAAACAAAGUGAUCUUGAUAUCUGUAUGACAAUAGAUGGUCUUGAAACUGCUGAGGGACUUGAUUGCAUCAGAAUCAUUGAAGAUUUAGCGAAAGUUCUCAAGAAACAGUCAGGUUUAAGAAAUGUCUUGCCUAUAACAACUGCUAAAGUCCCAAUUGUCAAAUUUUUCCAUGUCAGAAGUGGUCUUGAAGUAGACAUCAGUUUAUAUAAUACUCUGGCCUUGCAUAACACCAGACUUCUGUCAUCAUAUGCAGCUAUUGAUCCUAGAGUAAAAUAUCUGUGUUACACAAUGAAAGUCUUUACAAAGAUAUGUGACAUUGGAGAUGCAUCUCGAGGUAGCCUGUCAUCUUAUGCAUAUACUCUUAUGGUGCUUUAUUUCCUUCAACAGAGAAAUCCACCAGUCAUCCCUGUUCUUCAAGAGAUCUACAAAGAACCAAAAAAGCCUGAAAUUUUGGUUGAUGGCUGGAAUGUGUAUUUCUUUGAUAAGAUAGAGGAGUUGUCAGUUGUUUGGCCAGACUAUGGGAAAAACACUGAAUCUGCUGGGCAGUUGUGGCUGGGACUUCUCCGAUUCUACACAGAAGAAUUUGAUUUUAAAGAGCACGUCAUCUGCAUCAGGAGAAAAAAUCUGCUUACAACUUUCAAGAAGCAGUGGACCUCCAAGUAUAUUGUAAUUGAAGAUCCCUUUGAUUUGAACCACAAUCUUGGAGCUGGAUUGUCAAGAAAAAUGACAAAUUUUAUAAUGAAGGCUUUUAUCAAUGGCAGAAGGGUAUUUGGUACCCCUGUAAAAACAUUUCCUAAAGAAUACCCAUCAAAAAUGGAGUACUUUUUUGAUCCUGAGGUUCUAACAGAAGGAGAAUUGGCACCAAAUGACAGAUGCUGCAGAACUUGUGGUAAAAUUGGCCAUUUCAUGAAAGAUUGUCCCAUGAGACGAAAACUAAGACGGCGUCGUGAUUAUGAAGGUACACAAAGGUAUGGAGAAAUCGAGAAAAAAAGCAAAGAGGACAAAGAAAUGCAGAAUAAACCAACAGAAAAGGAGAACUUAAUCAAGGAGGGAAAGCUGCACCUAUGUACACCUCAGAAGAGGAAACUGGCAAGGGUAAUAGUGGAAACUGGAAGAGAGAAGACUCCCAGGCAAUCAGCAGAGAAGUGGAAGCGCCCGGAAGACAGAGACAUAAGAGAAAAACGUUGUUUUAUCUGUGGAAGAGAAGGUCAUAUUAAAAAGGAAUGCCCACAAUAUAAAGGAGUUGCAGAUGGCUCAAAUCCAGAAGUGUUGUGCAGGUCCCCUUCUUUAACCACUGCUGUCAAACAUGCUGGUAGAUUAAAUCAGGGAGUGCUUAUGCAUGAAGAAAAAAAGAAACAAAAAGGAAAAGUAUUUUUGAGUCCCCAGUCAGGCAGCCUUUCCAAUAAAUACAUGACUCAGGGAAAAGCCUCGCAGAAGAGGACCCAGCAAGAAUCAUGAGGGAUAUUAAGCACUGAUAAAUUGCAACACAGGCCCAUCAUUCACUUAAAAGAAAUGUCUUUGGCUAAAGCCUAUGAAUUCGCAGGACAGCAGCAUAGACAACCUUCAGCUUAAGUUCAAUUAAAAUAUGGGUGUUUUCUUUUAGAUUGCUAGUACAAGCAACUGUGGAUUUUAAUACAGACCCCUGCUCUUUAUAAUAGAUUGUUUGAACAUUUUAAUAGAAAGCCAUGAUGUUUUGUAUUUGUUUACUAGGUAAUGCAUUUAGAAAAGGGCAGGUACUAAAAAUGAACUGUUUUUAGGGUUUUGUUGUUCCACCUGACCAUUUUAAACUGCACUAAAACUAUGUGCUAGCCAAAUAAAUUAUAUUUUCUUCAAAAAUGAAUCUUUUGAAGGAGCAAAUGAUAUUUAUUAAUGUUGAUUGUUUACUGAAUCCUUGUGUAAGUGUUUGAGAUGUUUGUAAACUGCUAUAUUCUUUUCUAUUUCUCCAGAGAACUAAACACAUAGGCACUAGUCAUCAUAUGUUAAACAAUCUCUGGACAAGCAGUGCCACUGAGAUUUUGUGGGGUUGUUUUCUGUUCUGUGAUUUUAUGGGAGUUUAUUUGCUGCUGUGCUCGUGUUCAAGAAAGAAAGAAAGACUAGAUAACAGGUGGGAAACUGCACUUAUCGGCCUCCAUUGUUCUCUGCUGUGGGAAAAUGUUUGGGGGUAGAAAGACAACAGUAUGGAAAUUAUAGAGGAAAAGAGCAUUGCUACUCCCUGGAUGGAAUGUGGCCAGCAUAUCUGCCUUCCCACUCACUAUACAUGCUAAAGGUGGGUGGAGUAGAGUACACUCUAACCAGGCUCUUGCAGAGGCUUGAACUUAGUGGUCCUUUCUGGCUGAUAAGCUGCACAGCAGCUGAAAACCAAGGGAGAUGAAGGAAGAUGUGCUGUUGAUGAAUCAGCAGCUGUCGUGGAAUCCUCUAGGCUGACACGUUAUGCAUUCUGAGAUACCCACCCCCAACGUACAACUACUUCUCACAGGGUAAGCUAUAUGAUUACAGCCACUGAAGCUCCAUCUAAACAUGACAAAAUAGUACAAAAGUGAAUUCAGAAGAGUGAGAAGUUAGGAAAGACUCCAUUGUAACUUCUGGAAUCAGUUGACAGC